AUACGUAGGGUGCAAGCGUUAAUCGGAAUUACUGGGCGUAAAGCGUGCGCAGGCGGUUUUGUAAGGAAGUGGUGAAAUCCCCGGGGUCAAACUGGGGACUGACAUUGUGACUGCAAGGCUGGAGGGCGGCAGAGGGGGAUGGAAUUCCGCGCGGAGGAGGGAAAUGCGUAGAUAUGCGGAGGAACACCGAUGGCGAAGGCAAUCCCCUGGGCCUGCACUGACGCUCAUGCACGAAAGCGUGGGGAGCAAACAGGAUUAGAUACCCUGGUAGUCCACGCCCUAAACGAUGUCAACUGGUUGUUGGGGAUUUAUUUUCUCAGUAACGAAGCUAACGCGUGAAGUUGACCGCCUGGGGAGUACGGCCGCAAGGUUAAAACUCAAAUGAAUUGACGGGG
Molecule: ribosomal RNA, 395 nt
Filed under: uncultured bacterium
Lineage: Bacteria
Description: partial 16S ribosomal RNA
Rfam family: Bacterial small subunit ribosomal RNA
Source: RNAcentral